Molecule: ribosomal RNA, 465 nt
Filed under: Vreelandella stevensii
Lineage: Bacteria; Pseudomonadati; Pseudomonadota; Gammaproteobacteria; Oceanospirillales; Halomonadaceae
Description: partial 16S ribosomal RNA
Rfam family: Bacterial small subunit ribosomal RNA
Source: RNAcentral
CCUACGGGUGGCAGCAGUGGGGAAUAUUGGACAAUGGGGGGAACCCUGAUCCAGCCAUGCCGCGUGUGUGAAGAAGGCCCUCGGGUUGUAAAGCACUUUCAGUGAGGAAGAACGCCUGGUGGUUAAUACCCAUCAGGAAAGACAUCACUCACAGAAGAAGCACCGGCUAACUCCGUGCCAGCAGCCGCGGUAAUACGGAGGGUGCGAGCGUUAAUCGGAAUUACUGGGCGUAAAGCGCGCGUAGGUGGCUUGAUAAGCCGGUUGUGAAAGCCCCGGGCUCAACCUGGGAACGGCAUCCGGAACUGUCAAGCUAGAGUGCAGGAGAGGAAGGUAGAAUUCCCGGUGUAGCGGUGAAAUGCGUAGAGAUCGGGAGGAAUACCAGUGGCGGAGGCGGCCUUCUGGACUGACACUGACACUGAGGUGCGAAAGCGUGGGUAGCAAACAGGAUUAGAUACCCUUGUAGUC